UUGUAGGCGGUUUGUCGCGUCUGCUGUGAAAAUCCGGGGCUCAACCCCGGACUUGCAGUGGGUACGGGCAGACUAGAGUGUGGUAGGGGAGACUGGAAUUCCUGGUGUAGCGGUGAAAUGCGCAGAUAUCAGGAGGAACACCGAUGGCGAAGGCAGGUCUCUGGGCCACUACUGACGCUGAGAAGCGAAAGCAUGGGGAGCGAACAGGAUUAGAUACCCUGGUAGUCCAUGCCGUAAACGUUGGGCGCUAGGUGUGGGACUCAUUCCACGAGUUCCGUGCCGCAGCUAACGCAUUAAGCGCCCCGCCUGGGGAGUACGGCCGCAAGGCUAAAACUCAAAGGAAUUGACGGGGGCCCGCACAAGCGGCGGAGCAUGCGGAUUAAUUCGAUGCAACGCGAAGAACCUUACCAAGGCUUGACAUAUACCGGAAACUUCCAGAGAUGGUUGCCCCCUUUGGGUCGGUAUACAGGUGGUGCAUGGUUGUCGUCAGCUCGUGUCGUGAGAUGUUGGGUUAAGUCCCGCAACGAGCGCAACCCUCGUUCUAUGUUGCCAGCACGUUAUGGUGGGGACUCAUGGAAGACUGCCGGGGUCAACUCGGAGGAAGGUGGGGAUGACGUCAAAUCAUCAUGCCCCUUAUGUCUUGGGCUUCACGCAUGCUACAAUGGCCGGUACAAAGGGCUGCGAUGCCGUAAGGUGGAGCGAAUCCCAAAAAACCGGUCUCAGUUCGGAUUGGGGUCUGCAACUCGACCCCAUGAAGUCGGAGUCGCU
Molecule: ribosomal RNA, 768 nt
Filed under: uncultured bacterium
Lineage: Bacteria
Description: bacterial SSU rRNA
Rfam family: Bacterial small subunit ribosomal RNA
Source: RNAcentral